GGAAUAUUGGUCAAUGGACGCAAGUCUGAACCAGCCAUGCCGCGUGCAGGAUGAAGCAUCUAUGGUGUGUAAACUGCUUUUGUACGAGAAGAAACAACUCUACGUGUAGAGUCUUGACGGUAUCGUAAGAAUAAGGACCGGCUAACUCCGUGCCAGCAGCCGCGGUAAUACGGAGGGUCCAAGCGUUAUCCGGAAUCAUUGGGUUUAAAGGGUCCGUAGGCGGUUUAGUAAGUCAGUGGUGAAAGCCCAUCGCUCAACGGUGGAACGGCCAUUGAUACUGCUAAACUUGAAUUAUUAGGAAGUAACUAGAAUAUGUAGUGUAGCGGUGAAAUGCUUAGAGAUUACAUGGAAUACCAAUUGCGAAGGCAGGUUACUACUAAUGGAUUGACGCUGAUGGACGAAAGCGUGGGUAGCGAACAGGAUUAGAUACCCUGG
This 435-nucleotide ribosomal RNA is filed under the name uncultured Flavobacterium sp. RNAcentral's name for it is "bacterial SSU rRNA". It matches the Rfam family "Bacterial small subunit ribosomal RNA", at positions 358 to 790 of the family's 1533-position model. The record is from RNAcentral. Lineage: Bacteria; Pseudomonadati; Bacteroidota; Flavobacteriia; Flavobacteriales; Flavobacteriaceae.